Molecule: ribosomal RNA, 468 nt
Filed under: uncultured bacterium
Lineage: Bacteria
Description: partial 16S ribosomal RNA
Rfam family: Bacterial small subunit ribosomal RNA
Source: RNAcentral
GACGAACGCUGGCGGCGUGCUUAACACAUGCAAGUCGAACGGAAAGGCCCUGCUUUUGGGGGGUUCUCGAGUGGCGAACGGGUGAGUAACACGUGAGUAACCUGCCCUUGACUUGGGGAUAACUUCAGGAAACGGGGGCAAAUACCGUAUAGGAGCUCCUGCUGCAGGGGGGGGGUUGGAAAGUUUCGGCGGUUGGGGAUGGCCGCGGGGCUUAUCUGCUUGUGGGGGGGGUAGUGGCUUACCAAGGGUUUGAUGGGUGGCCGGCCUGGGGGGGGGACCGGCCCAAUUGGGGCUGGAGACGGGCCCGAACUCGUCCGGGGGGAGGCAGUGGGGAAAUUUGACCAAUGGGGCGAGCCCGGAGCAGGGAACCCCGGGGGGGGGGGACCGGCCUUCGGGUUGUAACCCGCUUUCGCCUGUGACGAAGCGUUAGUGACGGUAAUGGGUAAAGAAGCACCGGCUAACUACGUG